RNAcentral lists this small nuclear RNA (62 nucleotides) under Cercocebus atys (sooty mangabey). The record is from RNAcentral. Lineage: Eukaryota; Metazoa; Chordata; Mammalia; Primates; Cercopithecidae.
GUGCUCACUUCAAGCACAUAUACUAAAAUUGGAAUGAUACAGAGAAGAUUAACAUAGUCCCU